GUGCCAGACUCCUACGGGAGGCAGCAGUGGGGAAUAUUGGGCAAUGGGCGCAAGCCUGACCCAGCAACGCCGCGUGAAGGAAGAAGGCUUUCGGGUUGUAAACUUCUUUUAUGAGGGACGAAAGAAAUGACGGUACCUCGUGAAUAAGCCACGGCUAACUACGUACCAGCAGCCGCGGUAAUACGUAGGUGGCAAGCGUUAUCCGGAUUUACUGGGUGUAAAGGGCGUGUAGGCGGGCUUGCAAGUCAGAAGUGAAAUCUGGGGGCUUAACUCCCAAACUGCUUUUGAAACUGUGGGUCUUGAGUGAUGGAGAGGCAGGCGGAAUUCCCAGUGUAGCGGUGAAAUGCGUAGAUAUUGGGAGGAACACCAGUGGCGAAGGCGGCCUGCUGGACAUUAACUGACGCUGAGGCGCGAAAGCGUGGGGAGCAAACAGGAUUAGAUACCCGCGUAG
Molecule: ribosomal RNA, 451 nt
Filed under: uncultured bacterium
Lineage: Bacteria
Description: bacterial SSU rRNA
Rfam family: Bacterial small subunit ribosomal RNA
Source: RNAcentral